GACGAACGCUGGCGGCGUGCUUAACACAUGCAAGUCGAGCGGAAAGGCCCUUUCGGGGGUACUCGAGCGGCGAACGGGUGAGUAACACGUGAGUAAUCUGCCCUUCACUUGGGGAUAACCUCCGGAAACGGUGGCUAAUACCCGAUACGACCAGCCUACGCAUGUGGUGCUGGUGGAAAGUUUUUUCGGUGGGGGAUGUGCUCGCGGCCUAUCAGCUUGUUGGUGGGGUAAUGGCCUACCAAGGCUUCGACGGGUAGCCGGCCUGAGAGGGUGACCGGCCACACUGGGACUGAGACACGGCCCAGACUCCUACGGGAGGCAGCAGUGGGGAAUAUUGGACAAUGGGCGGAAGCCUGAUCCAGCAACGCCGCGUGAGGGAUGACGGCCUUCGGGUUGUAAACCUCUUUCAGCACAGACGAAGUCUCAGCUUUUUGGUUGGGGUGACGGUAUGUGCAGAAGAAGCACCGGCCAACUACGUGCCAGCAGCCGCCGUAACAC
This 498-nucleotide ribosomal RNA is filed under the name uncultured bacterium. Its description in RNAcentral is "bacterial SSU rRNA". It matches the Rfam family "Bacterial small subunit ribosomal RNA", at positions 28 to 526 of the family's 1533-position model. The record is from RNAcentral.